GCCAGGCAUGGUGGUGCGUGCCCGUAAUCCCAGUGGCUCAGGAGGCGGAGGCAGGAGGAUCACUAGUUCAAAACCAGCCUCAG
RNAcentral lists this small RNA (83 nucleotides) under Marmota monax (woodchuck). Lineage: Eukaryota; Metazoa; Chordata; Mammalia; Rodentia; Sciuridae. The record is from RNAcentral.